UACGUAGGGGGGCUAGCGUUGUCCGGAAUCAUUGGGCGUAAAGAGCGUGUAGGCGGUCCGGUAAGUCCGCUGUGAAAGUCGGGGGGCUCAACCCUCGAAUGCCGGUGGAUACUGUCGGGCUAGAGUGCGGAAGAGGUGAGUGGAAUUCCUGGUGUAGCGGUGAAAUGCGCAGAUAUCAGGAGGAACACCAAUGGCGAAGGCAGCUCACUGGGACGGUAUUGACGCUGAGACGCGAAAAGCGUGGGGGAGCAAACAGG
RNAcentral lists this ribosomal RNA (257 nucleotides) under uncultured bacterium. RNAcentral describes it as "partial 16S ribosomal RNA". It matches the Rfam family "Bacterial small subunit ribosomal RNA", at positions 524 to 776 of the family's 1533-position model. The record is from RNAcentral.